UACAGAGGGGGCGAGCGUUGUUCGGAAUUACUGGGCGUAAAGGGCGCGUAGGCGGCCAACUAAGUCAGACGUGAAAUCCCUCGGCUCAACCGGGGAACUGCGUCUGAUACUGGAUGGCUUGAAUUCGGGAGAGGGGUGCGGAAUUCCAGGUGUAGCGGUGAAAUGCGUAGAUAUCUGGAGGAACACCAGCGGCGAAGGCGGUGCUCUGGGCCGGAACUGACGCUGAGGAGCGAAAGCGUGGGUAGCGAACAGG
RNAcentral lists this ribosomal RNA (253 nucleotides) under uncultured bacterium. RNAcentral's name for it is "partial 16S ribosomal RNA". It matches the Rfam family "Bacterial small subunit ribosomal RNA", at positions 524 to 776 of the family's 1533-position model. The record is from RNAcentral.